AUUGAACGCUGGCGGCAUGCCUUACACAUGCAAGUCGAACGGUAACAGCACUUCGGUGGCUGACGAGUGGCGAACGGGUGAGUAAUACAUCGGAACGUGCCCGAGAGUGGGGGAGUAACGCAGCGAAAGACUGUGCUAAUACCGCAUACGAUCUACGGAUGAAAGACAGGGGAGUUCGCAAGGACCUUGCGCUCAUGGAGGCGGCCGAUGGCAGAUUAGGUAGUUGGUGGGAUAAAAGACUUACCAAGCCGACGAUCUGUAGCUGGUCUGAGAGGACGACCAGCCACACUGGAACUGAGACACGGUCCAGACUCCUACGGGAGGCAGCAGUGGGGGAAUUUUGGACAAUGGGCGGCAAGCCUGAUCCAGCCAUUCCGCGUGCAGGAUG
This 388-nucleotide ribosomal RNA is filed under the name uncultured bacterium. Its description in RNAcentral is "bacterial SSU rRNA". It matches the Rfam family "Bacterial small subunit ribosomal RNA", at positions 30 to 410 of the family's 1533-position model. The record is from RNAcentral.